This 495-nucleotide ribosomal RNA is filed under the name uncultured bacterium. Its description in RNAcentral is "bacterial SSU rRNA". It matches the Rfam family "Bacterial small subunit ribosomal RNA", at positions 28 to 526 of the family's 1533-position model. The record is from RNAcentral.
GAUGAACGCUAGCGGCAGGCCUAACACAUGCAAGUCGAGGGGUAUAGUAGCAAUACUAGAGACCGGCGCACGGGUGCGUAACGCGUAUGCAAUCUACCUUUUACAGAGGGGUAGCCCAGAGAAAUUUGGAUUAAUACCUUAUAGUAUAGCAUCUUCGCAUGAAGUCACUAUUCAAGUUUUAACGGUAAAAGAUGAGCAUGCGUCCUAUUAGCUAGAUGGUAAGGUAACGGCUUACCAUGGCUACGAUAGGUAGGGGUCCUGAGAGGGAGAUCCCCCAAACUAGUACUGAGACACGGACCAGACUCCGACGGGAGGCAGCAGUGAGGAAUAUUGGACAAUGGGCGCAAGCCUGAUCCAGCCAUGCCGCGUGCAGGAAGACGCAUCUAUGGUGUGUAAACUGCUUUUGUACGGGAAGAAACCCCACUACGUGUAGUGGUUUGACGGUACCGUAAGAAUAAGGAUCGGCUACCUCCGUGCCAGCCGCCGCUAUAAGAC